UGUAUGUAUGUAUGUAUGUAUGUAUGUAUGUAUGUAUGUAUGUAUGUAUGUAUGUAUGUAUGUAUGUAUGUAUGUAUGUAUGUAUGUAUGUAUGUAUAUAAUAUGGCCCAAGCUCCAGCGUGUUUUAUAUAACAUGUUAAUUUUUAUAGGGGCUGUUGAAUGGAACGAAAUAAACAAUGCUAAAGAUGCAAAUGCUUUUGGCGGUACGCAUCCUGAUUCAAAAUGCACAAAUGCUGCACAUAGUGAAUUAUCGGUUUAUAAAAAACGUUGGAAAUUUACCUGAUUCGAUUUAGUUGAUGAUUUAAUUGAUUCAGAAUAGUUUAUUUAAAUAAAAUAUAUAGUUUUAUUUUA
Hydra vulgaris (swiftwater hydra) is the source of this 351-nucleotide non-coding RNA. The record is from RefSeq and is a predicted model, not a curated record. NCBI's taxonomy places the organism in Eukaryota, Metazoa, Cnidaria, Hydrozoa, Anthoathecata, Hydridae.